RNAcentral lists this long non-coding RNA (3454 nucleotides) under Homo sapiens (human). Its description in RNAcentral is "HSALNT0340888". Lineage: Eukaryota; Metazoa; Chordata; Mammalia; Primates; Hominidae. The record is from RNAcentral.
UACUCCCCUUUCUUCUUCCUUCCUUGCUUUCUUUCUUCUUCCCUUCCUUCUUUCUCUUCCUCGCUCCUUCUUUUUUACAAGCUGUUAUGAAUUAGCCUUCACAGAGAAAGAAAAAUUUUUAUAAAUAACUGGAAAUGAAACUUUGCAAAGGACUGCAGAUGAAAAACUUUGUCAAAUGACUGUAAAAAUAUACUAUAUAAUUUUCAAAAGUUAGAAAGUACCAAACACACUCAGUAUUCAUGGUUAUACAAGUAUGCAUACACAUGUAUUGCUCCCUGAAAAGUGGUGUUGUUAAGGGAGUUUUUCUUAGUACGCGGCUUAACAUAUUUUUUUCUGUAAUUUGUUGUUAGUUAUAAUGGGGAGAGAAAACAGGUUAGAGUCUCCCCUCUCAGUUUCACCUUCCAUAAAACAGCUAAACUAGACGAUCGUCAGACUCCUUCCAGCUGAAAACAUCUGUAAAAUUAAAAACAAAUCUAAAUGUAUGCAAGAUAUGUAUUUAAACAUGCUGGUAAUAAGUGUGCUGUCCCUAUAAUUUAGAUGCUAAAACAUUGAUGUCAUAAUAAUAACAACACCUCGCAUUUGUACAGCACCUCAUAGUUUACACAAUGCCUUAACAUUCUUCUCUCUCAGCCUCCUACAACCCCACAGGAUUGGGAUAGCUUUCCAGAUUGGGAGGUGAGGGACCCAGGCUCAGAGCGAUUCUGCUGUUGUCCGUAAUCACCAGGCUGGUGAUCAGUGGGCACUGGGUGCUCUCCUGCUACACAGCACUGUCUCUCAACAUGCAGGUCAAGGUUACUUAUUCCUCCUUCAAGACGUCAUUGGGUUUUUUAGCUAUGGAUGCCCCAUCACUUUUAGUUCUAUUUGUGAAUCAAAGGCUAAAUAAAGUAUUCCUCAAAAUUUGUUAUACUUCUGUUACUAAUGCUUAAUGUCCCUCACAAUUUCUGUAUAUUUCUGUGUAUUUCUGCUCUGUUUUGGUUCCUUUCCCAGGUUUCUUUUUUGUUAUGAAGUAGUUUUUAGACUCAAGUCUCUUCUGUAUGUGUUAUAACUGCCCAUUCCAUAAGAUACAGGGCAGUGAAUUUGUGAGCCUUGAAAAUAUUUACUUUAGAAAUGAGAAGUAUGACUUUUCAACGUUGUGUCAUCAACUUCUGUAAAUUUUCCAGACCUAUAAAUACUUGCAGAAAAAAAAUGAAAGGAGAAGGCAACUUGAUUUAGCAGUUGGGUCAGUUAGCAAUGCCUAUGGCAAGCUGUAGUAAUUCCCUUACAUAGAUUUGUAAGACUCAUUUCUAUGAUUUAAAUGAAGGCAUACACUUAACCUCUUUAGGGUGUGAAACAGCUUUUACAAAAAGAGACAAACUUAAGAAACAGUGUGGCCCUCCAAGAGUGUUCAUUUUCCAUAUCAUACCAUUUGUAAUAAGCUAUUCUGGCUGGGAUUUACUUGCAAGCAUUGGCUUUUAAGAAGAGAUGGUUUCACACAUCAAAUUAUUCACUUGGAGGCACUUUCUGGGUUGAAGGAAUGGAAUGGAGAGUGCGGCAGUGAGUAGAUCUCUCAGUGACGGUGAUGUGCCUCUCCCAGAAGAAAUUUCAAAAUGCAGUGUUCAUUUUCCUCCACAAGAAAGGAAGAAACUGUUUUGUUAUUGUUUAUUCCUAACAUAGUGGAAACUUUUCAGUACUCUGGCAGAAAUUUCCCAAAAGCAAUUUUCUAUUUCAUGAUUAUAAAGUAGCAAAGGAAAAAGUCCUGCACUCCAGCUGAGCAAUGGAUCUCCAGUUGUUAUCUAGGUGCUGCAGGUUUAGAGAGGAUUGCCAGGAGAACACAUCGAUUUUUCAGGCCUGUGAUGACGUAUCUCUUGUUGAAUAAGUAAACCCUUCCAGUAAACAGACAGUUAGUAUAUUGAUUUCAGGGUGGCUUUAGCCACUGAACCUGUAAGUCUUGCAAAGGUUACUUGGGCAAAAGCAUCAUUAUUUUACCUUCAGUCAACAAAAAUCUACCUGGCCAAGGCAGAACAGAAAGUUCAGCAAUUUGAUGAAGUGGGACAACAUGAAGAAUCAGUUAAUGAUCCUUUGCCUGGACUUUCUAAGUGCCCAGAAGAGCAACAGCCAGCAUGCAGGAUGGCAUUCCUGACCAGUUGCACUUGGCCUAGCAUUCCAACCUCACCUGCCUCAGCUUGUUCAACCUGAAAACCUACCAAGUGAAAGCAAGAGCCACGUGAAGACGCCUUAGUUAUAUGCACCCACCCAGACACUUGCUCAGAAAGGAAUCAGUGGGGCCCUGGCCUUAGAAACUGGCUCCUUCACUGCUGUAGAAACAACAUAAAUUUAACAUAAAACACGUGCUUUUCUUUUUUCUUCUUACUUUUUCCUGUCUUGGCAAUGCAAGGAUGCCAUUAGGUAAAGAAAUCCUUCACCACACUAAUCCUGCAGAGCCAGAAGAGAAACCAGCUUGUUCUAACCCAGCUUUGUCAUGGAGAGAAGGCAGCUGCUCCAGUCUGAACUAUUCUUUCUUUUGGUAGCAGCCUGCCCAAGGGUGAAAGUGUGUUUAAUAGUUUGAAUUACACAAGUGAACAGUAAAUGUAUGCCUGUUUCUGCUUUAUGGGACUUUGAAAUAAUGUUGUUUGUGCCAAGGUUUUAGAUUACUAUACCUAACAACCUAGAAAAAGAAAUGAAAAGGAAGCCUUCUGCCAGGCAGAGGUCACUACGGGCCUGGAGCUGGGCACCUGACUCAGCAGCUGCCCAGAUCCCCAGAGCUGAGAAGUCACCAUGCAUUUGUGGUGCUUCGAGCGAGUUACCAGAGUCCUGGAACAGAGCAGCACACCUGCGGGGUGUCCCCUUGGCAUUUGGGCAGGGCAGGUGACCAAGGGUCUUGUUGGAACUGAAGUCCAGCUUGAAAAGCAAAUCUGGUUGUGAGCUAGAGUCCAGUAACACUUGUUUCCCGCCGCCCCCCGCAUAACUCGUGUGUCCUAAAAUACAAUAAUUUCUUGAACUUCAGUCACUUAUGCCUAUAAGCGGGCAUACAACAGGGGCACAAUAAAUGUUUGUUAAGUGAAUGAAUUCUUUCAGAACUAGAUGGGAUCUUAGUCCAACUCUCUUAUUUAACGAGGUCCACAGAGGUUCUGCGAUUGUCUAAGAAAGAAGGCUGUGUUCAUGGCCUUUGUUGUUUACGUGGCCCUGUGAUUCUCUUGGCUCCGUGAAAGUCCUGAUGCAGACAUUCCGGCCAUCUAGAAAGGCAUGCAGACAAGCCAUCCAGCUGGCAUGAUCCUGAGUCCAGCUUUCUUUAAAAGAGCUUCCAAAACUGCUUAAGCUUUGACUGCACAAAACCUGCAUCACCUCCAGUUGAGAAACUCAAGAGAAUAAGUAAGUUAUGGAGUUGGAGACCCCAGCUUAACUACUAGUUUUAAAAUAGUGAAAUCAACAUUUUCAAAUCUUUGACUUCACUAAGAUUUAAUAAAGUUUAUUAAUC